RNAcentral lists this ribosomal RNA (506 nucleotides) under uncultured bacterium. Its description in RNAcentral is "bacterial SSU rRNA". It matches the Rfam family "Bacterial small subunit ribosomal RNA", at positions 501 to 1008 of the family's 1533-position model. The record is from RNAcentral.
CUACGUGCCAGCAGCCGCGGUAAUACGGAGGGUGCGAGCGUUAAUCGGAAUAACUGGGCGUAAAGGGCACGCAGGCGGUGACUUAAGUGAGGUGUGAAAGCCCCGGGCUUAACCUGGGAAUUGCAUUUCAUACUGGGUAGCUAGAGUACUUUAGGGAGGGGUAGAAUUCCACGUGUAGCGGUGAAAUGCGUAGAGAUGUGGAGGAAUACCGAAGGCGAAGGCAGCCCCUUGGGAAUGUACUGACGCUCAUGUGCGAAAGCGUGGGGAGCAAACAGGAUUAGAUACCCUGGUAGUCCACGCUGUAAACGCUGUCGAUUUGGGGAUUGGGCUUUAAGCUUGGUGCCCGUAGCUAACGUGAUAAAUCGACCGCCUGGGGAGUACGGCCGCAAGGUUAAAACUCAAAUGAAUUGACGGGGGCCCGCACAAGCGGUGGAGCAUGUGGUUUAAUUCGAUGCAACGCGAAGAACCUUACCUACUCUUGACAUCGAUGGACAGAACUAGAGAUA